UGAGGAAUAUUGGUCAAUGGGCGAUGGCCUGAACCAGCCAAGUAGCGUGAAGGAUGACUGCCCCAUGGGUUGUAAACUUCUUUUAUAAAGGAAUAAAGUCGGGUAUGCAUACCCGUUUGCAUGUACUUUAUGAAUAAGGAUCGGCUAACUCCGUGCCAGCAGCCGCGGUAAUACGGAGGAUCCGAGCGUUAUCCGGAUUUAUUGGGUUUAAAGGGAGCGUAGAUGGAUGUUUAAGUCAGUUGUGAAAGUUUGCGGCUCAACCGUAAAAUUGCAGUUGAUACUGGAUGUCUUGAGUGCAGUUGAGGCAGGCGGAAUUCGUGGUGUAGCGGUGAAAUGCUUAGAUAUCACGAAGAACUCCGAUUGCGAAGGCAGCCUGCUAAGCUGCAACUGACAUUGAGGCACGAAAGUGUGGGUAUCAAACAGG
RNAcentral lists this ribosomal RNA (424 nucleotides) under Acidobacteriota bacterium. RNAcentral describes it as "Acidobacteria bacterium partial 16S ribosomal RNA". It matches the Rfam family "Bacterial small subunit ribosomal RNA", at positions 355 to 776 of the family's 1533-position model. The record is from RNAcentral. Lineage: Bacteria; Pseudomonadati; Acidobacteriota.